CGUAGGGUGCGAGCGUUAAUCGGAAUUACUGGGCGUAAAGCGUGCGCAGGCGGUUUGUUAAGAUAGGCGUGAAAUCCCCGGGCUCAACCUGGGAACUGCGCUUAUGACUGGCAAGCUAGAGUACGGCAGAGGGGGGUGGAAUUCCACGUGUAGCAGUGAAAUGCGUAGAGAUGUGGAGGAACACCAAUGGCGAAGGCAGCCCCCCGGGUCGAUACUGACGCUCAUGCACGAAAGCGUGGGUAGCAAACAGGAUUAGAUACCCUGGUAGUCCACGCCCUAAACGAUGUCAACUAGGUGUUGGGAGGGUAAAACCUUUUAGUACCGGAGCUAACGCGUGAAGUUGACCGCCUGGGGAGUACGGCCGCAAGGUUA
This 372-nucleotide ribosomal RNA is filed under the name uncultured organism. RNAcentral's name for it is "bacterial SSU rRNA". It matches the Rfam family "Bacterial small subunit ribosomal RNA", at positions 526 to 896 of the family's 1533-position model. The record is from RNAcentral.